GACGAACGCUGGCGGCGGGCUUAACACAUGCAAGUCGAACGGAAAGGCCCUGCUUUUGUGGGGUGCUCGAGUGGCGAACGGGUCAGUAACACGUGAGUAACCUGCCCUUUACUUUGGGAUAACUUCAGGAAACUGGGGCUAAUACCGGAUAGGAGCUCCUGCUGCAUGGUGGGGGUUGGAAAUUUUCGGCGGUUGGGGAUGGACUCGCGGCUUAUCAGCUUGUUGGUGGGGUAGUGGAUUACCAAGGCGUUGACGGGUAGCCGGCCUGAGAGGGUGACCGGCCACAUUGGGACUGGGGUACGGGCAGGACGCAUACGGGAGGCAGGAGUGGGGAAUAUUGCACAAUGGGCGGAGGCCGGAUGGAGCAACGCCGCGUGCGGGAUGACGGCCGUCGGGUUGUAAACCGCUUUCGCCUGUGACGAAGCGUGAGUGACGGUAAUGGGUAAAGAAGCACCGGCUAACUACGU
This 467-nucleotide ribosomal RNA is filed under the name uncultured bacterium. RNAcentral's name for it is "partial 16S ribosomal RNA". It matches the Rfam family "Bacterial small subunit ribosomal RNA", at positions 28 to 506 of the family's 1533-position model. The record is from RNAcentral.